UCCGGUUUGUCACCGGCGGUCCCCUUAGAGUUCCCAACUUAAUGCUGGCAACUAAGGACAAGGGUUGCGCUCGUUGCGGGACUUAACCCAACAUCUCACGACACGAGCUGACGACAGCCAUGCAGCACCUGUGUUCGAGUUCCCGAAGGCACCAAUCCAUCUCUGGAAAGUUCUCGACAUGUCAAGGCCAGGUAAGGUGGGGAUGACGUCGGAGAGUACGUCC
RNAcentral lists this unclassified non-coding RNA (223 nucleotides) under uncultured Gammaproteobacteria bacterium. RNAcentral's name for it is "contains 16S-23S intergenic spacer region". The record is from RNAcentral. Lineage: Bacteria; Pseudomonadati; Pseudomonadota; Gammaproteobacteria.